This 156-nucleotide ribosomal RNA is filed under the name uncultured bacterium. RNAcentral describes it as "partial 16S ribosomal RNA". It matches the Rfam family "Bacterial small subunit ribosomal RNA", at positions 355 to 507 of the family's 1533-position model. The record is from RNAcentral.
UAGGGAAUUUUUCACAAUGGACGAAAGUCUGAUGAAGCAAGCCGCGUGAGUGAUGACGGUCUUCGGAUUGUAAGCUCUGUUAUAAGGGAAGAAUGGUAGGAUAGGAAAUGAUCUUACUUUGACGGUACCUUAUCAGAAGCCACGGCUAACUAUGUG